This 406-nucleotide ribosomal RNA is filed under the name uncultured soil bacterium. Its description in RNAcentral is "bacterial SSU rRNA". It matches the Rfam family "Bacterial small subunit ribosomal RNA", at positions 26 to 445 of the family's 1533-position model. The record is from RNAcentral.
AGAACGAACGCUGGCGGCAUGCCUAAUACAUGCAAGUCGAACGAACUCUUCGGAGUUAGUGGCGCACGGGUGCGUAACGCGUGGGAAUCUGCCCCUUGGUUCGGAAUAACAGUUGGAAACGACUGCUAAUACCGGAUGAUGACGAAAGUCCAAAGAUUUAUCGCCAAGGGAUGAGCCCGCGUAGGAUUAGCUAGUUGGUGAGGUAAAGGCUCACCAAGGCAACGAUCCUUAAGCUGGUCUGAGAGGAUGAUCAGCCACACCGGGACUGAGACACGGCCCAGACUCCGUACGGGAGGCAGCGAGUAGGGAAUAUUGGGACAAAGUGGGCGAAAAGCCGUAGAUCCAAGCGAAAUGACCGCGUGAGUGAUGAAGGCCGUUACGGUUGUAAAGCUUCGUUUAACCGAGA